CCUACGGGGGGCAGCAGUGAGGAAUAUUGGUCAAUGGACGAGAGUCUGAACCAGCCAAGUAGCGUGAAGGAUGACGGCCCUAUGGGUGGUAAACUUCUUUUAUAAAGGAAUAAAACGAGGCACGUGUGCCUUUUUGCAUGUACUUUAUGAAUAAGGAUCGGCUAACUCCGGGCCAGCAGCCGCGGUAAUACGGGGGGGCCGAGCGUUAUCCGGGUUUAUUGGGUUUAAAGGGAGCGUAGAUGGGUUGUUAAGUCAGUUGUGAAAGUUUUCGGCUCAACCGUAAAAUUGCAAUUGAAACUGGCAGUCUUGAGUACAGUUGAGGUAGGCGGAAUUCGUGGUGUAGCGGUGAAAUGCUUAGAUAUCACGAAGAACCCCGAUUGCGAAGGCAGCUUACUAAACUGUGACUGACAUUGAUGCUCGAAAGUGUGGGUAUCAAACAGGAUUAGAUACCCGGGUAGUC
Molecule: ribosomal RNA, 460 nt
Filed under: uncultured bacterium
Lineage: Bacteria
Description: partial 16S ribosomal RNA
Rfam family: Bacterial small subunit ribosomal RNA
Source: RNAcentral